UACAAACAUGAGGCUGCUACUGGAAAAGGUUUCUCUGGUCUGAAAGUAUAAGGACCAGCAUUUCACUUUGACUGAAAUCUUCUGAAACUUGGGACUCUCACGGCUUCAAAAGAAAUGGCAUGCAGCCACGGCAAAGCAAUAAAGCAAAUUAGAAAUCCAGCUGGAAGUAUUAAAGUCAGCUUCCUGAG
Molecule: long non-coding RNA, 188 nt
Organism: Anolis sagrei ordinatus
Lineage: Eukaryota; Metazoa; Chordata; Lepidosauria; Squamata; Anolidae
Source: RefSeq, a predicted model, not a curated record